RNAcentral lists this ribosomal RNA (497 nucleotides) under uncultured bacterium. Its description in RNAcentral is "partial 16S ribosomal RNA". It matches the Rfam family "Bacterial small subunit ribosomal RNA", at positions 28 to 507 of the family's 1533-position model. The record is from RNAcentral.
GAUGAGCGCUGGCGGCGUGCCUAAUACAUGCAAGUCGAGCGAACGGACGAGAAGCUUGCUUCUCUGAUGUUAGCGGCGGACGGGUGAGUAACACGUGGAUAACCUACCUAUAAGACUGGGAUAACUUCGGGAAACCGGAGCUACUACCGGAUAAUAUUUUGAACCGCAUGGUUCAAAAGUGAAAGACGGUCUUGCUGUCACUUAUAGAUGGAUCCGCGCUGCAUUAGCUAGUUGGUAAGGUAACGGCUUACCAAGGCAACGAUGCAUAGCCGACCUGAGAGGGUGAUCGGCCACACUGGAACUGAGACACGGUCCAGACUCCUACGGGAGGCAGCAGUAGGGAAUCUUCCGCAAUGGGCGAAAGCCUGACGGAGCAACGCCGCGUGAGUGAUGAAGGUCUUCGGAUCGUAAAACUCUGUUAUUAGGGAAGAACAUAUGUGUAAGUAACUGUGCACAUCUUGACGGUACCUAAUCAGAAAGCCACGGCUAACUACGUG